RNAcentral lists this ribosomal RNA (1536 nucleotides) under Klebsiella pneumoniae. RNAcentral describes it as "bacterial SSU rRNA". It matches the Rfam family "Bacterial small subunit ribosomal RNA". RNAcentral also lists the same sequence under 1 other name. The record is from RNAcentral. Lineage: Bacteria; Pseudomonadati; Pseudomonadota; Gammaproteobacteria; Enterobacterales; Enterobacteriaceae.
UUGAAGAGUUUGAUCAUGGCUCAGAUUGAACGCUGGCGGCAGGCCUAACACAUGCAAGUCGAGCGGUAGCACAGAGAGCUUGCUCUCGGGUGACGAGCGGCGGACGGGUGAGUAAUGUCUGGGAAACUGCCUGAUGGAGGGGGAUAACUACUGGAAACGGUAGCUAAUACCGCAUAACGUCGCAAGACCAAAGUGGGGGACCUUCGGGCCUCAUGCCAUCAGAUGUGCCCAGAUGGGAUUAGCUAGUAGGUGGGGUAACGGCUCACCUAGGCGACGAUCCCUAGCUGGUCUGAGAGGAUGACCAGCCACACUGGAACUGAGACACGGUCCAGACUCCUACGGGAGGCAGCAGUGGGGAAUAUUGCACAAUGGGCGCAAGCCUGAUGCAGCCAUGCCGCGUGUGUGAAGAAGGCCUUCGGGUUGUAAAGCACUUUCAGCGGGGAGGAAGGCGAUAAGGUUAAUAACCUUGUCGAUUGACGUUACCCGCAGAAGAAGCACCGGCUAACUCCGUGCCAGCAGCCGCGGUAAUACGGAGGGUGCAAGCGUUAAUCGGAAUUACUGGGCGUAAAGCGCACGCAGGCGGUCUGUCAAGUCGGAUGUGAAAUCCCCGGGCUCAACCUGGGAACUGCAUUCGAAACUGGCAGGCUAGAGUCUUGUAGAGGGGGGUAGAAUUCCAGGUGUAGCGGUGAAAUGCGUAGAGAUCUGGAGGAAUACCGGUGGCGAAGGCGGCCCCCUGGACAAAGACUGACGCUCAGGUGCGAAAGCGUGGGGAGCAAACAGGAUUAGAUACCCUGGUAGUCCACGCCGUAAACGAUGUCGAUUUGGAGGUUGUGCCCUUGAGGCGUGGCUUCCGGAGCUAACGCGUUAAAUCGACCGCCUGGGGAGUACGGCCGCAAGGUUAAAACUCAAAUGAAUUGACGGGGGCCCGCACAAGCGGUGGAGCAUGUGGUUUAAUUCGAUGCAACGCGAAGAACCUUACCUGGUCUUGACAUCCACAGAACUUUCCAGAGAUGGAUUGGUGCCUUCGGGAACUGUGAGACAGGUGCUGCAUGGCUGUCGUCAGCUCGUGUUGUGAAAUGUUGGGUUAAGUCCCGCAACGAGCGCAACCCUUAUCCUUUGUUGCCAGCGGUCCGGCCGGGAACUCAAAGGAGACUGCCAGUGAUAAACUGGAGGAAGGUGGGGAUGACGUCAAGUCAUCAUGGCCCUUACGACCAGGGCUACACACGUGCUACAAUGGCAUAUACAAAGAGAAGCGACCUCGCGAGAGCAAGCGGACCUCAUAAAGUAUGUCGUAGUCCGGAUUGGAGUCUGCAACUCGACUCCAUGAAGUCGGAAUCGCUAGUAAUCGUAGAUCAGAAUGCUACGGUGAAUACGUUCCCGGGCCUUGUACACACCGCCCGUCACACCAUGGGAGUGGGUUGCAAAAGAAGUAGGUAGCUUAACCUUCGGGAGGGCGCUUACCACUUUGUGAUUCAUGACUGGGGUGAAGUCGUAACAAGGUAACCGUAGGGGAACCUGCGGUUGGAUCACCUCCUU